RNAcentral lists this long non-coding RNA (1053 nucleotides) under Gouania willdenowi (blunt-snouted clingfish). RNAcentral's name for it is "lncRNA (ENSGWIG00000006851.1)". The record is from RNAcentral. Lineage: Eukaryota; Metazoa; Chordata; Actinopteri; Blenniiformes; Gobiesocidae.
CUGGAUGCAGCCAUUGCUAACGGCAUUAAGCUCCCGCUCGAAGAUCAACGCGGUGUACUGGAUUCAGCUGUUGCCUCCGCCAUUAGGGAUGCUGUGGAUUCGAUCCUGGUACCAGCUUUACAUGACAUGCGAACAGAAAUACAAAAGACUGCUGAAGCCGUGAAUGGCUUUACCAAUGAACUCGAUAAAGUGAGCAAGUCUGCUAAGAGGACCCAGGACCAAAUGGAUGCUGUGCAGGCCGCUGCAUGGGAAUAUAGGCGUUCGCUAAGCGAGCUAAAGUUGCAGCUUGACCUCCUUACCACAAAGUUGACGGACCUGGAGGACAGGGGGCGAAGGAAUAACAUAAGGCUGGUUGGCUUACCAGAAUCAGUGGAGGGUUCUGAUGCAGUUGGCUACCUGAAAAAGAAUCUAUCUAAAUGGAUCCCUUCGUUGGAUGGCCGUGACAUCGAUAUUGAACGGGCGCAUCAGGUAUAUGACGGAGGCCAGGCUAAUUCCAACAAACCACGAACUCUCAUCUUCAGACUGCUCCGUUGGCAGGACAGAGCGGCAAUCCUUAACGGUGCACGGAAUGUCUUCCCAGUGAAGUAUAAAUUCAACGGAGCCACCCCGAAAAUAACCGCUGGCUCCGCUACUCUUCUGUUUUUCCCCGACUUUAGCCCAGCAACGACAGCCAGGAGGAAGAGCUGCAGCUCUGUCCUGAAGAAGGCUAAAGAAAUGGGUCUGAAGCCGUUCCUCGUUUAUCCUGCAUGGAUUAAACUUCAGUACAAAGGUGAGAAGAGGAUGUUCGACUCUCCCCAAAUGGCUGAAGACUUCCUCAACUCUCUCCAACGGAGAGCCCCUGUUGCAGCGGAGUGCGAGAGUGAAGCGGUCGCCAUGGUAACAAUCCCAGGCCUAUUAACAGUGGCCCACGCUGAUCUCCAGGAUGACAGAGAGGGUAACCUGACGGACAUGGACGGAUGAGUCUUCGAACCUUACCUGACAUAAAUAAGUUCUUAAAGUUUAAGCAGUUAGUGUUUAAGAAAUUUUUUAUUUUUAUUUUUUUGGUGAGCGGGU